GAUGAACGCUGGCGGCGUGCUUAAUACAUGCAAGUCGAACGAGGAACUUUUGUCUUCGGAUGGGAGUUUCCUAGUGGCGAACGGGUGAGUAACGCGUUGGUGACCUGCCCCGAAGCGGGGGAUAACAGUUCGAAAGGACUGCUAAUACCCCAUGUGAUCAGCGGGAUUAGAUGCCUGCUGAUUAAAGGCGUAAGCCACUUUGGGAGGGGCCUGCGUCCCAUCAGCUAGUUGGUAGGGUAAUGGCCUACCAAGGCUAUGACGGGUAGGGGACCUGAGAGGGUGGCCCCCCACACUGGCACUGAAACACGGGCCAGACACCUACGGGAGGCAG
Molecule: ribosomal RNA, 331 nt
Filed under: uncultured Chloroflexota bacterium
Lineage: Bacteria; Bacillati; Chloroflexota
Description: bacterial SSU rRNA
Rfam family: Bacterial small subunit ribosomal RNA
Source: RNAcentral